This 292-nucleotide ribosomal RNA is filed under the name uncultured bacterium. RNAcentral describes it as "partial 16S ribosomal RNA". The record is from RNAcentral.
GGACUACUGGGGUUUCUAAUCCUGUUUGCUCCCCACGCUUUCGCGUCUCAGCGUCAGUUGGUGUCCAGGAAGCCGCCUUCGCCACUGGUGUUCCUCCUGAUAUCUACGAAUUUCACCUCUACACCAGGAAUUCCACUUCCCUCUCCACCACUCAAGACUGGUAGUUUCGGGUGCAGUUCCCAGGUUGAGCCUGGGGAUUUCACAUCCGACACACCAAUCCGCCUACACGCGCUUUACGCCCAGUAAUUCCGAGCAACGUUUGCACCCUCUGUCUUACCGCGGCUGCUGGCAC